CGCUGUGUCUUCCUUACCUCUCUCAUUGCCAACAGCUGCCAGGUGAAGGCUGCCAAUCACCUGAGCCUGGGAGGAAACUCAGUGUACCCUACAUGGCAUUCCAGGCUCUGCACAGGCAGUCCUAAAUACCUGGCAGAUAUUUCCUCCUCGUCUCAACCUCUCAGAAUCCCUAGCUUCCUUAAAGUCCUGGCUGUGGUGGAACCUGGGACUGGCUGCCUUUCCCUGAAGUCUUUCGAUGGGAAUGCUACCUGGCACUUAUUUAUCUGGAAAAACUGGAAUAGAGAGAAGUUAAAUGAUUUGCUGAAGACCAAAUAUGACAUCAGUUUGUUGCAGUGGAACAAGAAAAUAUUACUGACCGCAGAUCCAUACCUACUUUCCAAUCUCCAUAAAAAGACUGAGACUAAUCUCCAGAAGCACCAUGGACACCCUCAGUGAAGGUUAUGAGGAAGGAACAGGAAGGCUUUUGCAAACACUACUCUGCAGAUGUUUAGUCACAUGACUGAUUAAAGUCUUUUAAGAAUACAAGAUCCCAUUGUGCUUGUUCUCCAUUGACUGUUUAAAUCAAGCAUUUGAUUCAAUAAAGCAGACUUUCUUGAAGGCCCUGCUCCA
RNAcentral lists this long non-coding RNA (609 nucleotides) under Phascolarctos cinereus (koala). RNAcentral describes it as "lncRNA (ENSPCIG00000026882.2)". The record is from RNAcentral. Lineage: Eukaryota; Metazoa; Chordata; Mammalia; Diprotodontia; Phascolarctidae.